AUUUGGAGGGAGCAGUAAUCCUUCCCUUUUUUUUAUGUUUUUUCCCCCCUGUAACAGACUGAAUCAGUCCAGCAGGUCUGCAAAAAGUUGACAAGAGUCGGAGGAGGAGGGUGUGAAUCCCUUAAGGCUGCUAUUGUCAUUGAACUCUCCAUGGUGUGAAACCACAGCCUGAGGUGCUGAGCUUCUACCAAGAGCAACUGAGGCUGAGGAACCAAUUCCCUUCUGCCAACUCUUUUAUUGGAGCUCUUUCCAAACUGGACCUCAGACAUACUGGGAGAUAAAGGGAUGUAGAAGAGCUAAAGAUAAAUGUCCUGACUCCAGGAAGUGGCGCUCUUUGGAUGAAGUUGCCAAGGAAGGCAAUUCCAGCCAUCCUCCAGCAUCUAAAGGAGGAAAGGCUCCUCAGCCGGUGCAGUCGGAGGGCUUCGCUCCCGCUCCGGAGAGAGCAGCGUUAAGGGAGCAGCUCAUCGGCUCAAGACUGAUUUCACUUGCAAAAGCACUGCGGCUUCGCAAUCGCUGACACUUGUGCGGUGUAAACAGGCUGG
This 542-nucleotide long non-coding RNA is filed under the name Parus major (Great Tit). Its description in RNAcentral is "lncRNA (ENSPMJG00000018291.1)". Lineage: Eukaryota; Metazoa; Chordata; Aves; Passeriformes; Paridae. The record is from RNAcentral.